Molecule: ribosomal RNA, 396 nt
Filed under: uncultured bacterium
Lineage: Bacteria
Description: partial 16S ribosomal RNA
Rfam family: Bacterial small subunit ribosomal RNA
Source: RNAcentral
AUACGUAGGUGACAAGCGUUAUCCGGAUUUACUGGGCGUAAAGGGCGUGUAGGCGGUCUUGCAAGUCAGAAGUGAAAUUCCUGAGCUCAACUCGGGCGCUGCUUCUGAAACUGCAGGACUUGAGUGCUGGAGGGGAUAGCGGAAUUCCUAGUGGAGCGGUAAAAUGCGCAGAUAUUAGGAAGAACACCGGUGGCGAAGGCGGCUAUCUGGACAGUAACUGACGCUGAGGCGCGAAAGCGUGGGGAGCAAACAGGAUUAGAUACCCUGGUAGUCUACGCUGUAAACGAUGAAUACUAGGUGUGGGGGGACUGACCCCCUCCGUGCCGCAGUUAACACAAUAAGUAUUCCACCUGGGGAGUACGAUCGCAAGAUUGAAACUCAAAGGAAUUGACGGGG